CCUACGGGGGGCAGCAGUAGGGAAUCUUUCACAAUGGGCGAAAGCCUGAUGGAGCAACGCCGCGUGCAGGAUGAAGGCCUUCGGGUUGUAAACUGCUUUUAUAAGCGAGAAAUAUGAUGGUAACUUAUGAAUAAGGAUCGGCUAACUACGUGCCAGCAGCCGCGGUCAUACGUAGGAUCCGAGCAUUAUCCGGAGUGACUGGGUGUAAAGAGUUGCGUAGGUGGCAUAAUAAGUAGCUAGUGAAAUCUGGUGGCUCAACCAUUCAGACUAUUAGCUAAACUGUUAAGCUCGAGACCGUUAGAGGUAACUGGAAUUUCUAGUGUAGGAGUGAAAUCCGUAGAUAUUAGAAGGAACACCAGUAGCGUAGGCAGGUUGCUGGGACGGUUCUGACACUAAGGCACGAAAGCGUAGGGAGCAAACGGGAUUAGAUACCCUUGUAGUC
Molecule: ribosomal RNA, 442 nt
Filed under: uncultured bacterium
Lineage: Bacteria
Description: partial 16S ribosomal RNA
Rfam family: Bacterial small subunit ribosomal RNA
Source: RNAcentral